UCACUUACCUGGACGGGGUCAAUGGGUGAUCAACGAGGCCUAUGGCCUACGCUAGUGACUUCCAUUGCACUUUGGAAGGGUACAAGUGUAAGAUCGACCCAAGUGGUCGAGUCUACGUCAUAAUUUGUGAUAGUGGGGGCCUGCGUUCGCGCGGCCCCUGC
RNAcentral lists this small nuclear RNA (161 nucleotides) under Erythranthe guttata (spotted monkey flower). RNAcentral's name for it is "Mimulus guttatus (spotted monkey flower) U1 spliceosomal RNA". It matches the Rfam family "U1 spliceosomal RNA". Rfam says of the family: U1 is a small nuclear RNA (snRNA) component of the spliceosome (involved in pre-mRNA splicing). Lineage: Eukaryota; Viridiplantae; Streptophyta; Magnoliopsida; Lamiales; Phrymaceae. The record is from Rfam by way of RNAcentral.